GAGAGAGAGACAUGCGCGCAUAUCAAUAAGCGGAGGAAAAGAAACUAACAAGGAUUCCCUUAGUAACGGCGAGUGAAGCGGGAAGAGCUCAAAUUUGAAAUCUUCAAGGUUUUACCUUGACGAAUUGUAGUUUAAAGAAGUGUUUUCUGCUGAAGUUUUGGUAAAAGUUCUUUGGAAUAGGACAUCAUAGAGGGUGAGAAUCCCGUAUUUGACCAUUAUUUUCAGCUUUGUGAUACACUUUCAAAGAGUCGGAUUGUUUGGGAAUGCAGUCCAAAAUGGGUGGUAAAUUUCAUCUAAAGCUAAAUAUUGGCGAGAGACCGAUAGCGAACAAGUACCGUGAGGGAAAGAUGAAAAGAACUUUGAAAAGAGAGUUAAACAGUACGUGAAAUUGUCAAAAGGGAAGCGUUUGACACCAGUGUUGUUUUCUCGAAAAUCAAUUAAAAAAGGCAGGAUUUUGUGUUGUAUUGACUUUAUCAGCUUUCUGCACUCUUUUCUUGUCUUUUUUAAUGCACUUUUCGUUUAACAAGUCAACAUCAAUUUCUUUUGUUGUAAAAGGGUCAUUGGAAGGUGGCUUUCUUUUCGGAGAAAGUGUUUAUAGCCUUUGGCCUCUGCAAUCGGAGAGAUUGAGGUCUGCAGCGUAGACUCUUCGGGGUUAGAUACAUUUGUGCUAAGUUAUAGCCUUUUCAUAGACAACUUGUUGACUAUAAUUAGUCUUGUAGCUUACUCGCUUAUGCUAUUUUACCUACGCUUAGGAUGUUGAGUCGUAGAGCACGCAG
Molecule: ribosomal RNA, 776 nt
Filed under: uncultured Neocallimastigales
Lineage: Eukaryota; Fungi; Neocallimastigomycota; Neocallimastigomycetes; Neocallimastigales
Description: partial large subunit ribosomal RNA
Rfam family: Eukaryotic large subunit ribosomal RNA
Source: RNAcentral